UACAGAGGUCUCAAGCGUUGUUCGGAUUCAUUGGGCGUAAAGGGUGCGUAGGUGGCGCGGUAAGUCGGGUGUGAAAUCUCGGGGCUUAACUCCGAAACUGCAUUCGAUACUGCGGUGCUUGAGGACUGGAGAGGAGACUGGAAUUCAUGGUGUAGCAGUGAAAUGCGUAGAGAUCAUGAGGAAGACCAGUGGCGAAGGCGGGUCUCUGGACAGUUCCUGACACUGAGGCACGAAGGCCAGGGGAGCAAACGGG
Molecule: ribosomal RNA, 253 nt
Filed under: uncultured bacterium
Lineage: Bacteria
Description: partial 16S ribosomal RNA
Rfam family: Bacterial small subunit ribosomal RNA
Source: RNAcentral